AUUGAGCCGUACCCUAAACCGACACAGGUGGAAUGGUAGAGUAUACCAAGGCGUUGAGAGAAUGAUGGUUAAGGAACUCGGCAAAUUGCGUGCGUAACUUCGGGAUAAGCACGCCCAUACUCUGGGCAACCAGGGUGUGGGGACACACGAGAGGGGGUGGCGACUGUUUAGCAAAAACACAGGGCUCUGCAAACUCCAAAGAGGAAGUAUAGGGUCUGACGCCUGCCCGGUGCCGGAAGGUUAAGAAAAGCUGUUAACGCAGUGGAUUGAAGCCCCGGUAAACGGCGGCCGUAACAAUAACGGUCCUAAGGUAGCGAAAUUCCUUGUCGGGUAAGUUCCGACGCGCAUGAAUGGCGUAACGAUCUCCCCACUGUCUCAACCAUUAUCUCAGCGAAAUAGAACUCCCCGUGAAGAUGCGGGGUACCCGCGGCUAGACGGAAAGACCCUAUGAACCUUUACUGUAGUUUCGCAGUGGGUACAGGGGCAUCUUGUGCAGAAUAGGUCGGAGGCUAUGAAGUAGGGGCGUUAGCCCUUAUGGAGCCACAACGUGAGAUACGACCCUAGAUGUUCUUGUAUUCUAACCCAGCACCUCACCGGUGCGGGACCCCUGCGUGAUGGGCAGUUUGACUGGGGCGGUCGCCUCCCAAAGAGUAACGGAGGCGUACGAAGGUUGGCUCAUGACGGUUGGAAACCGUCAGUUGAGUAUAAUGGCAAAAGCCAGCCUGACUGCAAGAGGGACACCUCGAGCAGGGACGAAAGUCGGUCAUAGUGAUCCGGUGGUUCCGCAUGGAAGGGCCAUCGCAAACGGAUAAAAGGUACUCUAGGGAUAACAGGCUGAUCGCAUCCAAGCGUCCAUAGCGACGAUGCGGUUUGGCACCUCGAUGUCGACUCAUCACAUCCUGGGGCUGGAGCAGGUCCCAAGGGUAUGGCUGUUCGCCAUUUAAAGUGGUACGUGAGUUGGGUUCAAAACGUCGUGAGACAGUUUGGUCCCUAUCUACCGUGGGUGUUGGAGUAUUGAGAAGAGUUGCCCUUAGUACGAGAGGACCGGGGCGAACACACCUCUGGUGUACCUGUUGUGGCGCCAGCCGCAUUGCAGGGUAGCUAUGUGUGGAAAGGAUAACCGCUGAAAGCAUCUAAGUGGGAAGCCUCCUUCAAAAACAAGUACUCCCUAUCAGGGCUGUGGCAGACUACCACGUUGAUAGGCCAGGUGUGUAAGCACAGUAAUGUGUUGAGCUAACUGGUACUAAUUGCCCGAUUGACUAA
Molecule: ribosomal RNA, 1263 nt
Filed under: metagenome
Description: bacterial LSU rRNA
Rfam family: Bacterial large subunit ribosomal RNA
Source: RNAcentral